GGAUGUGGAUGAUGAGAUUACAAGUAAAAAUACAGUUAUCCCUGUCUUACUUCUCGGGAAGGGUGCUGAAAAUACUUUCAGUCUGACAGGAUU
This 93-nucleotide small nucleolar RNA is filed under the name Triticum urartu. Its description in RNAcentral is "Small nucleolar RNA R38". It matches the Rfam family "Small nucleolar RNA R38". From Rfam's summary of the family: snoR38 is a C/D box small nucleolar RNA conserved across yeast, human, Arabidopsis and rice. It is encoded in the intron of elongation factor-1 gamma in both pombe and cerevisiae. snoR38 guides the methylation of 2'-O-ribose sites in 28S rRNA. The record is from Rfam by way of RNAcentral. Lineage: Eukaryota; Viridiplantae; Streptophyta; Magnoliopsida; Poales; Poaceae.